AUUCAGCUGACGAGUCUCAAUUAGGACAAAACGUUCGUCUUGGAU
Molecule: non-coding RNA, 45 nt
Organism: Schistosoma haematobium
Lineage: Eukaryota; Metazoa; Platyhelminthes; Trematoda; Strigeidida; Schistosomatidae
Source: Rfam